UUGAAAGGGAAACGAUUGAAGUCAGUCGUACCGACGAGAAAUCAACUUAUCGUGUGCGAACUUGUGGGCGUGCGUGAGUUUCGGCCUCGCUGUUUGCAUGUUUGUGCGCUUUGGGUGUACUUUUUCGUAUGGUAGGCCAACGUCAGUUUCGAUUAUCAUAAAAUGACCGGCGGAAUGUAGCUUCGAUUUCGGUUGAAGUGUUAUAGCCUCUGGUAGAUGUGGUGAUUGAGACUGAGGAUUGCAACGAAUAUCCUUUGGGCUAUCCGUCUGGCCUCUGAAAGUUGCUCAGGUGCCGAAAGCGUGCUUACGGUCAUCUAAGAUAACGUUCAACAGGUUAGAACGUGAUUACAUUCGUUAAGGAUGUUGACGUA
This 371-nucleotide ribosomal RNA is filed under the name uncultured Glomeromycotina. RNAcentral describes it as "eukaryotic LSU rRNA". Lineage: Eukaryota; Fungi; Glomeromycota. The record is from RNAcentral.